UGAUCCAUGGCUCAGAUUGAACGCUGGCGGCAGGCCUAACACAUGCAAGUCGAGCGGAUGACAGGAGCUUGCUCCUGAAUUCAGCGGCGGACGGGUGAGUAAUGCCUAGGAAUCUGCCUGGUAGUGGGGGACAACGUUUCGAAAGGAACGCUAAUACCGCAUACGUCCUACGGGAGAAAGCAGGGGACCUUCGGGCCUUGCGCUAUCAGAUGAGCCUAGGUCGGAUUAGCUAGUUGGUGAGGUAAUGGCUCACCAAGGCGACGAUCCGUAACUGGUCUGAGAGGAUGAUCAGUCACACUGGAACUGAGACACGGUCCAGACUCCUACGGGAGGCAGCAGUGGGGAAUAUUGGACAAUGGGCGAAAGCCUGAUCCAGCCAUGCCGCGUGUGUGAAGAAGGUCUUCGGAUUGUAAAGCACUUUAAGUUGGGAGGAAGGGCAUUAACCUAAUACGUUAGUGUUUUGACGUUACCGACAGAAUAAGCACCGGCUAA
This 492-nucleotide ribosomal RNA is filed under the name Pseudomonas sp. CL2.94. RNAcentral's name for it is "bacterial SSU rRNA". It matches the Rfam family "Bacterial small subunit ribosomal RNA", at positions 14 to 500 of the family's 1533-position model. Lineage: Bacteria; Pseudomonadati; Pseudomonadota; Gammaproteobacteria; Pseudomonadales; Pseudomonadaceae. The record is from RNAcentral.